Molecule: ribosomal RNA, 497 nt
Filed under: Staphylococcus aureus
Lineage: Bacteria; Bacillati; Bacillota; Bacilli; Caryophanales; Staphylococcaceae
Description: partial 23S ribosomal RNA
Rfam family: Bacterial large subunit ribosomal RNA
Source: RNAcentral
GAGUUACGAUUUGAUGCAAGGUUAAGCAGUAAAUGUGGAGCCGUAGCGAAAGCGAGUCUGAAUAGGGCGUUUAGUAUUUGGUCGUAGACCCGAAACCAGGUGAUCUACCCUUGGUCAGGUUGAAGUUCAGGUAACACUGAAUGGAGGACCGAACCGACUUACGUUGAAAAGUGAGCGGAUGAACUGAGGGUAGCGGAGAAAUUCCAAUCGAACCUGGAGAUAGCUGGUUCUCUCCGAAAUAGCUUUAGGGCUAGCCUCAAGUGAUGAUUAUUGGAGGUAGAGCACUGUUUGGACGAGGGGCCCCUCUCGGGUUACCGAAUUCAGACAAACUCCGAAUGCCAAUUAAUUUAACUUGGGAGUCAGAACAUGGGUGAUAAGGUCCGUGUUCGAAAGGGAAACAGCCCAGACCACCAGCUAAGGUCCCAAAAUAUAUGUUAAGUGGAAAAGGAUGUGGCGUUGCCCAGACAACUAGGAUGUUGGCUUAGAAGCAGCCAUCA